RNAcentral lists this transfer RNA (75 nucleotides) under Ignavibacteria bacterium. RNAcentral describes it as "tRNA-Glu". It matches the Rfam family "tRNA". From Rfam's summary of the family: Transfer RNA (tRNA) molecules are approximately 80 nucleotides in length. Their secondary structure includes four short double-helical elements and three loops (D, anti-codon, and T loops). The record is from RNAcentral. Lineage: Bacteria; Pseudomonadati; Ignavibacteriota; Ignavibacteria.
GGCGCAUUCGUCUAGCGGUUAGGACGCAGCCCUCUCAAGGCUGUGGCACGGGUUCGAGUCCCGUAUGCGCUACAA